This 546-nucleotide long non-coding RNA is filed under the name Ananas comosus (pineapple). RNAcentral's name for it is "long non-coding RNA (ACOM_LNC038261)". The record is from RNAcentral. Lineage: Eukaryota; Viridiplantae; Streptophyta; Magnoliopsida; Poales; Bromeliaceae.
AUUUGAGUCGGUAUUAAGUGUUUCGUGUUCGACCUAGAAGGUCGAGGAUUAAUAAGGUUGUCGCGUUUUAGGGAGUAAUAGCACCGCAUAGGCGAUCUUCUUUUAGAUCGGCGCGGGAUGGGCCAAGCGGUGUCCCUGGGCAAUUUGAGGCGAUCGGAGACUUGGAACUUCGCGAGUUUUGGCGGCCCUUGUGACCUUUGAGAAAUUAACGGAAUCCUCGUCGUGUUAGAUCACUUUUAGUCAAAUUGACCAAAGUGCGUCGAGAGAUGUAGUUGGACAAAGUCCAAUUGAUAUUCCAAAAAUGUUGGAAGGGUUAGAAUUAAGUUCUAAGAGAGUUUGAAUAGUUUUAGCAUUGCUUGACGCGAAUUGGAGUCGAAGCGGUGCAAAAAUCGAAAUUCUGGAACAUGUGUUACCGAUUUAACGCCAGGGGUGUACCGGUAUAGCAUGGUUGUAACGAAGUGAAUUCUCGAGAGCCGAGAGUUGGACUUCGUCCAAGAUCGACUAGUUGUCGAGUGGGUAUGUAACAUACCGAAAUUUCGGUAACCA